AGGUCCCUUUGGUGGGACCAAGAGGACUACGGGGUGCUCCCCCGAGCGACCCCCCUCACCGCUCUCCUCUUUGCAGAGGCACUUUUUGGACGACCCCCCUUUGCCUCCCGCUCGUUUGCUGAGCUGGAGGAGAAGAUCCGCAGCGACCGAGCCAUCGAGGUAAUGUUGAGCUGGCAUGGGGUAGGGCCGCUGGGUUGUGCCACCUGGUGCCACCGCUGUCCCUGCCCAGCUGCCCAGCCGGCCCCCGCUGUCCCCAGAGUGCCGAGAUCUCCUGCAACGCCUCCUGGAGAGGGACCCCUUGAAGCGCAUCUCCUUCGAGGAGUUCUUCGCCCAUCCCUUUGUGGACAUGGAGCACAUGCCCGGCCCCGAGAGCUUCUGCAAGGCGACCAACCUGGUGGUGG
Molecule: long non-coding RNA, 401 nt
Filed under: Gallus gallus (chicken)
Lineage: Eukaryota; Metazoa; Chordata; Aves; Galliformes; Phasianidae
Description: long non-coding RNA NONGGAT001518
Source: RNAcentral